UGGGUGCGAUCAUCCCANCACUAAA
Molecule: ribosomal RNA, 25 nt
Filed under: Pistacia terebinthus (terebinth)
Lineage: Eukaryota; Viridiplantae; Streptophyta; Magnoliopsida; Sapindales; Anacardiaceae
Source: RNAcentral